GAUGAACGCUGGCGGCGUGCCUAAUACAUGCAAGUCGAGCGAACGGACGAGAAGCUUGCUUCUCUGAUGUUAGCGGCGGACGGGUGAGUAACACGUGGAUAACCUACCUAUAAGACUGGGAUAACUUCGGGAAACCGGAGCUAAUACCGGAUAAUAUUUUGAACCGCAUGGUUCAAAAGUGAAAGACGGUCUUGCUGUCACUUAUAGAUGGAUCCGCGCUGCAUUAGCUAGUUGGUAAGGUAACGGCUUACCAAGGCAACGAUGCAUAGCCGACCUGAGAGGGUGUACGGCCACACUGGAACUGAGCCACGGUCCAGACUCCUACGGGCGGCAGCAGUAGGGAAUCUUCCGCGAUGGGCGAAAGCCUGACGGAGCAACGCCGCGUGAGUGAUGAAGGCCUUCGGAUCGUAAAACUCUGUUAUUAGGGAAGAACAUAUGUGUAAGUAACUGUGCACAUCUUGACGGUACCUAAUCAGAAAGCCCCGGCUAACUACGUG
RNAcentral lists this ribosomal RNA (497 nucleotides) under uncultured bacterium. Its description in RNAcentral is "partial 16S ribosomal RNA". It matches the Rfam family "Bacterial small subunit ribosomal RNA", at positions 28 to 507 of the family's 1533-position model. The record is from RNAcentral.